RNAcentral lists this unclassified non-coding RNA (385 nucleotides) under Melitaea cinxia (Glanville fritillary). Its description in RNAcentral is "misc RNA ENSMCXG00005012156.1". The record is from RNAcentral. Lineage: Eukaryota; Metazoa; Arthropoda; Insecta; Lepidoptera; Nymphalidae.
CGUCCACCGAACGUAGCUUUCUGUUCGCUUAUAUAACGACAUACAUAUAUAUGCGCGUUUUAAGUUUGAAGUCACACAUCGCAUGUCAAUGACUCAAGACCUUCGGAGCUUAGUGCGCAAUGGACAGGCAACAGAAAAACUGAUUGUGUUCCUAUAUCGUACGAAUUCCUGGUAGUGUAAACCGACGUAGAAAAAGAAGACGGCGAAAUUAUCUUUCGAUAACUAAACUUAUUAUGACCGAGACUGAUUCGCGAAUACUUUUUACUAUUAAAAUAUUGCAACCUGUUAUUCAUGUUGUGAAUAUUAAUAACGAAAUUUCAUUCUUUUAUAUUUUCUGUAAUUUUUUCGACCGUAAUUUUAAUAAAAUACAAGGAAAAUCGUUACA